Molecule: ribosomal RNA, 427 nt
Filed under: uncultured beta proteobacterium
Lineage: Bacteria; Pseudomonadati; Pseudomonadota; Betaproteobacteria
Description: bacterial SSU rRNA
Rfam family: Bacterial small subunit ribosomal RNA
Source: RNAcentral
UGGGGAAUUUUGGACAAUGGGCGAAAGCCUGAUCCAGCCAUGCCGCGUGAGUGAAGAAGGCCUUCGGGUUGUAAAGCUCUUUUAGUCGGAAAGAAAGAGUUGCAAUGAAUAAUUGUGAUUUAUGACGGUACCGACAGAAAAAGCACCGGCUAACUACGUGCCAGCAGCCGCGGUAAUACGUAGGGGGCGAGCGUUAAUCGGAAUUACUGGGCGUAAAGGGUGCGUAGGCGGUCUUGCAAGUCAGAUGUGAAAGCCCCGGGCUUAACCUGGGAAUUGCGUUUGAAACUACAAGGCUAGAGUGCAGCAGAGGGGAGUGGAAUUCCAUGUGUAGCAGUGAAAUGCGUAGAGAUGUGGAAGAACACCGAUGGCGAAGGCAGCUCCCUGGGUUGACACUGACGCUCAUGCACGAAAGCGUGGGGAGCAAACA